Non-coding RNA from Prochlorococcus marinus str. MIT 9211, 63 nucleotides. The record is from Rfam. NCBI's taxonomy places the organism in Bacteria, Bacillati, Cyanobacteriota, Cyanophyceae, Synechococcales, Prochlorococcaceae.
AAGCGUUCACCCUGUUUCAACCAGGGCGCAAAUUAGAACCAGGCCAUGGAACGGGGACCUGGU